UCUGGCCAAUCCUUUGUGAGCUCAGAAGCUAAACAGGGUCAGGCCUGAUUAAAACUUGAAUGGGAGAUCUCUGGGGAAUAGCAAGCUGUCAGAG
Molecule: ribosomal RNA, 94 nt
Filed under: Notechis scutatus (mainland tiger snake)
Lineage: Eukaryota; Metazoa; Chordata; Lepidosauria; Squamata; Elapidae
Source: RNAcentral